GGCUCCUUGUAAUUACUGUAGAUGGGGAGUCGGACCUGCCCGGUGAUAUUAUUUAACGGCCGCGGUACCCUGACCGUGCGAAGGUAGCAUAAUCAUUUGCCUUAUAAUUGAAGGCUUGUAUGAAUGGUUUGACUUGAGCAAAGCUGUCUCUUUAUAAUUUUGUAGAAUUUUAUUUUUAGGUGAAGAAGCCUAGAUAAAAUUAAUAGACAAGAAGACCCUAUCGAGCUUUAAAGAAAUUAAUAGAAUUAUAUUAUUAAUAUAUAUAAAAAAUUGACUAUUAAAAAUUUUAGUUGGGGCGACUGAGGAACAAAUAAAGCUUCCUAUAUUUAAUAGAUGUUCAUAUGUUGAUCCAAGCUUUUUGAUUAAAGAAAUUAGUUACCGUAGGGAUAACAGCAUUAUUCUCUUUGAGAGUUCUUAUCGAAAAGGGGGUUUGUGACCUCGAUGUUGGACCAGAAUAUCCUAAAGAUGCAGAAGUCUUUGAGGGUUGGUCUGUUCGACCAUUAAAAUUCU
Molecule: ribosomal RNA, 510 nt
Filed under: Merica oblonga
Lineage: Eukaryota; Metazoa; Mollusca; Gastropoda; Neogastropoda; Cancellariidae
Description: partial 16S ribosomal RNA
Rfam family: Bacterial large subunit ribosomal RNA
Source: RNAcentral